RNAcentral lists this ribosomal RNA (459 nucleotides) under uncultured bacterium. RNAcentral describes it as "partial 16S ribosomal RNA". It matches the Rfam family "Bacterial small subunit ribosomal RNA", at positions 338 to 795 of the family's 1533-position model. The record is from RNAcentral.
CCUACGGGAGGCAGCAGUGAGGAAUAUUGGUCAAUGGCCGGGAGGCUGAACCAGCCAAGUCGCGUGAGGGAAGACGGCCCUACGGGUUGUAAACCUCUUUUGUCAGGGAGCAAGGUGCAGGUCGGGACCUGCUGUGAGAGUACCUGAAGAAAAAGCAUCGGCUAACUGCGUGCCAGCAGCCGCGGUAAUACGGAGGAUGCGAGCGUUAUCCGGAUUUAGUGGGGUAAAAGGGUGCGCAGGCGGAGGCGCAAGUCAGCGGUAAAAUCGCGGGGCUCAACCCAGAUCCGCCGUUGAAACUGUGUGCCUUGAGUGCGCGAGAAGUAUGCGGAAUGCGUGGUGUAGCGGUGAAAUGCAUAGAUAUCACGCAGAACUCCGAUUGCGAAGGCAGCAUACCGGCGCCCAACUGACGCUGAAGCACGAAAGCGUGGGUAUCGAACAGGAUUAGAUACCCUUGUAGUC